CCGGUAAACGGCGGCCGUAACUAUAACGGUCCUAAGGUAGCGAAAUUCCUUGUCGGGUAAGUUCCGACCUGCACGAAUGGCGUAAUGAUGGCCAGGCUGUCUCCACCCGAGACUCAGUGAAAUUGAACUCGCUGUGAAGAUGCAGUGUACCCGCGGCAAGACGGAAAGACCCCGUGAACCUUUACUAUAGCUUGACACUGAACAUUGAGCCUUGAUGUGUAGGAUAGGUGGGAGGCUUUGAAGUGUGGACGCCAGUCUGCAUGGAGCCGACCUUGAAAUACCACCCUUUAAUGUUUGAUGUUCUAACGUUGGCCCCUGAUC
Molecule: ribosomal RNA, 321 nt
Filed under: Escherichia coli
Lineage: Bacteria; Pseudomonadati; Pseudomonadota; Gammaproteobacteria; Enterobacterales; Enterobacteriaceae
Description: partial 23S ribosomal RNA
Rfam family: Bacterial large subunit ribosomal RNA
Source: RNAcentral